RNAcentral lists this ribosomal RNA (554 nucleotides) under uncultured Methanosarcina sp. Its description in RNAcentral is "bacterial SSU rRNA". It matches the Rfam family "Archaeal small subunit ribosomal RNA", at positions 325 to 879 of the family's 1478-position model. Lineage: Archaea; Methanobacteriati; Methanobacteriota; Methanomicrobia; Methanosarcinales; Methanosarcinaceae. The record is from RNAcentral.
ACGGGGUGCAGCAGGCGCGAAAACUUUACAAUGCGGGAAACCGUGAUAAGGGAACACCGAGUGCCAGCAUCAUAUGCUGGCUGUCCAGAUGUGUAAACUACAUCUGUUAGCAAGGGCCGGGCAAGACCGGUGCCAGCCGCCGCGGUAACACCGGCGGCCCGAGUGGUGACCGUUAUUAUUGGGUCUAAAGGGUCCGUAGCCGGUUUGGUCAGUCCUCCGGGAAAUCUGAUAGCUCAACUAUUAGACUUUCGGGGGAUACUGCCAGGCUUGGAACCGGGAGAGGUAAGAGGUGCUACAGGGGUAGGAGUGAAAUCUUGUAAUCCCUGUGAGACCACCUGUGGCGAAGGCGUCUUACCAGAACGGGUUCGACGGUGAGGGACGAAAGCUGGGGGCACGAACCGGAUUAGAUACCCGGGUAGUCCCAGCCGUAAACUAUGCUCGCUAGGUGUCAGGCAUGGCGCGACCGUGUCUGGUGCCGCAGGGAAGCCGUGAAGCGAGCCACCUGGGAAGUACGGCCGCAAGGCUGAAACUUAAAGGAAUUGGCGGGGGAGCAC